GGUGGAGUGAUUUGUCUGGUUAAUUCCGAUAACGAACGAGACUCUGGCCUACUAACUAGUCGUCGGAUCGCUUCAGUCCGACCGACUUCUUAGAGGGACAAGCAGCGCUUAGCUGCAUGAAAAAGAGCAAUAACAGGUCUGUGAUGCCCUUAGAUGUCCGGGGCUGCACGCGCGCUACACUGAAGGAAUCAGCGUGUGGGUUUGCCUGGCUCGAAAGAGCUGGGUAAUCCGGUGAAAAUCCUUCGUGAUUGGGAUCGGGACUUGCAAUUAUUUCCCUUGAACGAGGAAUCCCUAGUAAGUACGGGUCAUCAGCUCGUGCUGAAUACGUCCCUGCCCUUUGUAC
This 343-nucleotide ribosomal RNA is filed under the name Nematoda environmental sample. Its description in RNAcentral is "SSU rRNA". It matches the Rfam family "Eukaryotic small subunit ribosomal RNA", at positions 1300 to 1665 of the family's 1831-position model. The record is from RNAcentral. Lineage: Eukaryota; Metazoa; Nematoda.